CAUUGAAUGGCUGAAUUUUAAGCAUUGGUCUCUUAAACCAUAUAAUAGUUUUAAACUUUCAAUGG
RNAcentral lists this transfer RNA (65 nucleotides) under Rhipicentor nuttalli. RNAcentral describes it as "tRNA-Lys". Lineage: Eukaryota; Metazoa; Arthropoda; Arachnida; Ixodida; Ixodidae. The record is from RNAcentral.